GUAUUUCAAUGAUUAAAGUAUGUUGAGUGAUGAAUAUAUAACAAUCAAAUAUUUGCCCCUUUGCAACGCACUCAUCAAUCAAUCAUAAACUCUAACAUGGCUCCCUCUGUUUCCAUUUCCAUUCUGAUAGUAGCAUUAUGGGUUCUUUAUAUCUUGAUGCACUCCACAACUAUGGUUAUUGCUGCUGGCUCUGUGGCAGCAUCUAAUUCAUCAGCGCUUGAACUAGAAGCGAAGGCUCUCCUGGAGAGUGGGUGGUGGUAUGGGUACUCCAACGAUACAUUCGUAGAUCAUUGCCACUUCUAUGGAAUCAUAUGCAAUGCUGGUGGAAGCGUCAUAGAGAUUGACAGGAGGGGUAUGCUCAAUUACAGAGAUGCGAUCAGUAAACUCAACAUCUCUUCCUUCCCAAAUUUAGUCCACCUUGAUCUUUCUGAUAAUUGGCUUACGGGGAGCAUUUCAGUCGAGAUAUGCACCCUUUCAAAGCUCACCCACCUUGAUCUGUCCCAUAAUUCUCUCACAGGUAAGUUGCCUCCUUCACUUGGAAACCUCACUCGAUUGGUGGAAUUUGACAUUUCUUCAAAUUCUAUCAUCGGUGAAUUACCUCUUUCACUUGCAAACCUCACUAGAUUACAGAUAUUUGACAUUUCCUCUAAUCUACUUGGUGGUUCCAUACCCAAAGGAUUGGGUAAUUUAAAGAAUCUUCUAGAAUUAAGAUUGAGUCAUAACAAUUUUACCGGAGCAAUCCCUUCUGCUCUUGGCCUUCUAACCAAUCUUUCCAUCUUGGAUUUGUCUUUUAAUAAAAUCAAUGGUUCUAUAGUGCCAGAAAUUGGAUUGCUAAAGAAUUUGUUGGAAUUGGACCUACAAAGAAACAAUCUCACUGGUCCAAUCCCUUUGUCUAUAGGUCAUCUAACCAAUUUGGUUUCUUUGUCUCUUUCUAUGAAUCAAAUCAAUGGUCACAUUCCACUAGAAAUAGGCAACAUGAAGAAUUUGAGGCACCUACACAUCAAUAAUAACAAGCUUAUUGGCCCCCUCCCUUCAUCUCUUGGUCAUCUAACCAAUUUGAUAUCUUUGUUUCUUGAUUCAAACCAAAUCAAUGGCUCCAUUCCUCCUGAAAUAGGCAACAUGAAGAAUUUGAGUUACCUGUCCAUCAAUAAUAACAAGCAAGCAUCUGAUUGGCCCCCUCUCCAUUCAUCUCUUGGUCAUCUAAACCAAUUUGAUCUAUUUGUUUCUUGAUUCAAACCAAAUCAAUGGCUCCAUUCCUCCUGAAAUAGGCAACAUGAAGAAUUUGAGUUACCUGUCCAUCAAUAAUAACAAGCUUAUUGGCCCCCUCCCUUCAUCUCUUGGUCAUCUGAUCAAUUUGAUCAAUUUGUUUCUUGAUUCAAACCAAAUCAAUGGCUCCAUUCCUCCUGAAAUAGGCAACAUGAAGAAUUUGAGUUACCUGUCCAUCAAUAAUACCAAGCUUAUUGGCCCCCUCCCUUCAUCUCUUGGUCAUCUAACCAAUUUGAUCUAUUUGUUUCUUGAUUCAAACCAAAUCAAUGGCUCCAUUCCUCCUGAAAUAGGCAACAUGAAGAAUUUGAGUUACCUGUCCAUCAAUAAUAACAAGCUUAUUGGCCCCCUCCCUUCAUCUCUUGGUCAUCUAACCAAUUUGGUUUCUUUGUCUCUUUCUAUGAAUCAAAUCAAUGGUCACAUUCCACUAGAAAUAGGCAACAUGAAGAAUUUGAAUUACCUGUACAUCAAUAAUAACAAGCUUAUUGGUCCCCUCCCUUCAUCUCUUGGUCAUCUAACCAAUUUGAUUUCUUUGUUUCUUGAUUCGAACCAAGUCAAUGGUUCCAUUCCUCCUGAAAUAGGCAACAUGACGAAUUUGAAAGACUUGCAUCUCAAUAAUAACAAUAUUGUUGGUCCAAUCCCUUUGACUAUAGGUCAUUUAACUAGCUUGCAAACUUUGUCCCUUAGUGGGAACCAAAUUAGUGGUUCCUUCCCUGUGCACAUUUUUAAUUGCUCUUCACUCUACAACAUAACCUUCAGCCAUAACUACUUAACUGGAAGCAUUCCCUUUCGUAACAGUAGCCUUUUUCCAUUAAGCUUGAUUGACCUCAGUUAUAAUUCUAUUAGUGGAGGAGAAAUACCUCUUAGGGGUAUAGAAUUUUUGGAUGUCAGCUACAAUAACUUCAAUGGCUCCUUUCCUAACUUAAUAGGCAAUAUGGAGCAUCUGCGUCACUUCAACCUUAGCAAUAACAAAAUUGUUGGUCAAGUUCCUUCGAUUAUAGGUCAAUUAACUGAGUUGGAAACGUUGGCCCUUAGUUGGAACCGAAUCAGUGGCUCCAUCCCCAAAGAAAUAGCUGAUUGCAAGAGGUUGAGUGAAUUGUUAUUGAGCCAUAACUAUUUAACUGGAAGCAUUCCAUCUCAAAUUAGUGACCUUCAGCUUUUAAAUGCUAUUGACCUAAGUUAUAAUGCUAUCAGUGGGGAAAUUCCUUUUAAACGAGGGGAUUCACACGCUUUACAGCACUUGGAUCUCAGCUGCAAUAAUCUUACUGGAAAUAUUCCGGAUCUUUCAUAUUCAGUAAAAGAAGUGAACUUUUCCCACAAUUCUUUCCAUGGUCGGAUCCCAGAUGGCUACUUAAAUUAUACACCUUCAGCCUUCAUCGGCAACAAAGAUUUAUGUGGUGAUGUCAAAGGCUUCCCUCCUUGCCCAAGCAACAAUAGAUCCAUUGUCCAUAAAAUAAAAUUUUUUGUUCCCUUAAUUGCUUUCACUAUGUUUUUACUUCUUGGGUAUUUUUUCCGCUCUCGAUGUAGAGUUAGGAAAAUGUCAUCUGAGUCAAGGGAAACAAAGAAUGGGGAUUUGUUCUCAAUAUGGAAUUAUGAUGGAAAAAUUGCAUAUGAAGACAUCAUUGAAGCAACAGAGGACUUUGACAUUAGAUAUUGUAUUGGAACAGGUGGUUAUGGCAGUGUUUACAAAGCACAGUUGCCUAAUGGUAAAGUGGUUGCCUUAAAGAAACUUCAUCGCUUGGAGGCUGAGGACCCAAAUUUUGACAAGAGUUUCAGAAAUGAGGUCAAAAUUUUAACGGAAAUCCGACAUCGGAAUAUUGUGAAACUGUAUGGUUAUUGUUUGCACAAACGAUGCAUGUUUUUGGUCUAUGAGUAUAUGGAAAGGGGAAGUCUAUUUUGUGUCCUACACAACAAUGCUGAGGCUGUAGAAUUGGAUUGGAUGAAGAGGGUGAACAUAAUCAAAAGCACAGCACAUGCAUUAUCUUAUAUGCAUCAUGAAGGUGUCCCUGUAAUUGUUCAUCGAGAUAUAACAAGCAACAAUAUUCUAUUGAACUCUGAGUUAGAGGCAUUUGUGUCAGAUUUUGGCACGGCUAGACUCCUUGAUUCAGAUACCUCCAAUCAAACUCUAAUGGCUAGGACUUACGGUUAUAUUGCUCCAGAAUUGGCCUAUACUAUGAAGGUGACUGAAAAAAGUGAUGUUUAUAGCUUUGGAGUGGUGGCAUUAGAAAUAUUAAUGGGAAGGCAUCCAGGCGAACUCUUGACAUCAUUAUCAUCAUCUCAAAGUGUGAUGCUAAAUGAAAUAUUAGACAAGCGCCUCCCACCUCCAAAUCGUUUGGUUGCACAGGAUGUUUUUCUUGUUGCUGCAAUUUCAUUUGCUUGCUUACGUGCUAAACCAAAGUCUAGGCCGACAAUGAAAUUAGUGUCUCAAGAAUUUCUUUGUCACAAGAAACCAAUAAUGAACCCCUUACAUGCAGUUUCAGUAUGGCAACUAAGAAACCAAGAAACUUAUAUGGUUGGAGAGAGUGAAACCCAUUUUGAAAGUCCUUGUUUUCUGGUUGAGAAAGAUAAUGUUUGAUGAGCUUCUAUGAAAAAAUU
RNA transcript from Quercus lobata, 3858 nucleotides. It is a transcript of the gene named probable leucine-rich repeat receptor-like protein kinase At1g35710, with no coding region annotated. The transcript is spliced from 2 exons. The record is from RefSeq and is a predicted model, not a curated record. NCBI's taxonomy places the organism in Eukaryota, Viridiplantae, Streptophyta, Magnoliopsida, Fagales, Fagaceae.